This 744-nucleotide long non-coding RNA is filed under the name Marmota monax (woodchuck). Lineage: Eukaryota; Metazoa; Chordata; Mammalia; Rodentia; Sciuridae. The record is from RNAcentral.
CACCCACCAGUGCUCCCACCAAAAAAAGAAAAAAGAAAUGGGAAAAUUUUUUAAAAGAUGAGAAAACCAUACAGGUAAAAGAUGUUAUAUACAUGAAAAUGUCUCAAAAUAUUAAAAAAAUAUGAGAAAACAGGCAUCAGAGGAUAUAUAAAUAUGAAUGUUGUUAUUUAAACGUUGUUAAUAAAAACCAAAAAUUAUAGAAAAUAACCAUCAAUACUCAUAGAAGAAAGGAAUAGGAGAUAGACUAACAUUUAACAGAAUUACCUAAACUGGUAUGAUGGAGAGAUUUUUUUUUUUCUGUGUUUUCCAAAAUCUUUGUCAAUGAGUAUGUAUUUCUAAUUAGGGGAAAUGUAUUUGAAAAGGAAAACAUAUUUCCAUAUUACUGCCCUUUUAAAUAGCAUAUCUAGAUUUUAGUUUGAUCUUAAUAAGGAACAUGAUUAUGUAUUAUCUGUAACCUGAUACUUUUUUCCUAACUUUCCUGCAUUACAAAAAUUCUUUAGUGACCCCAGGAGUGGGGAUGUGGGGGUGAGUCUAAUGCUGUUUUAGUUUAAAUUAAUAGUAAAUUCAGGUAUUAAGUUUUUACAAAAAAUACUGGUUUCCUAGAGCUGUUAACUCUUGUAUACUACAAAAAAAUCAAACAGCUAGUUCAGAUCAUUUAAGUCUUCAUUUUAAAAUACUGCUUUUUAACUUUAUGAUAGUCUUUUUACAAUGUAAAAUUGAUAUACUAAUUUGAGUUUCUGAUUG